CUGCCCUCAAGCACGGCUUGUGUGUUGGGUGUGGUCCCCCCGGGGACCUGCCCGAAAGGCAGUGGCGACGCCCGCCUAGGUCCUCGAGCGUAUGGGGCUUUGUCACCCGCUCGGGAAGGGUCUACGGGCGUUGGUCUUCCAUAAUUAUUUUCCACGG
This 157-nucleotide unclassified non-coding RNA is filed under the name uncultured Penicillium. RNAcentral's name for it is "sequence contains ITS2". The record is from RNAcentral. Lineage: Eukaryota; Fungi; Ascomycota; Eurotiomycetes; Eurotiales; Aspergillaceae.